GGCUUUACUUUUUUAAUAUUGGAACACCCUUCUAAUGCUGAACACCAGAACAGUAUUUGAGGUUUUCGGUUAUUAUGUGCAGCCCUGUUCAGAAGCUUCCAAAGAAGCGCAGCCGUGUGGAACGCAUGAGAAGACUCUACAUGCAGUGCAGAGCUCCAGAACCGCUGAUCCCCCAGAUUCCUGGUCCUGCUCAGGGUUCAGAUGGGCGGGAACACUGGGAGCAAGAAAUGGACGAACUGGUGGAAUGGACUCAUUCUCUCUCUUUGAAAGAAUUGGAUAACCUAUGACCUUUAGCACAAAUUUAGAUAAUAUAACGUGAUCCUAUAAACACAAAUCAGAAACUUUUUUUUUCAAACCAGAACUGGAUUUACAGUACAAUAAACAAUGUCUUUAGGACACAUUUCAAAUCAAGGAACAUUUUAUUUAAAACAUUUUUUUUUUUACAAUUAUGACAAUAUUCAUCCACUCCUCUCUCUAUCUAUCUAUGUCAUAGAUAUUACAGUAAAAUACAACAAAUAUG
This is a long non-coding RNA of Rhinichthys klamathensis goyatoka, 520 nucleotides long. RefSeq lists it as uncharacterized. NCBI's taxonomy places the organism in Eukaryota, Metazoa, Chordata, Actinopteri, Cypriniformes, Leuciscidae. The transcript has 2 exons. The record is from RefSeq and is a predicted model, not a curated record.